UGGGGAAUAUUGGACAAUGGGCGCAAGCCUGAUCCAGCAAUGCCGCGUGUGUGAAGAAGGCCUUAGGGUUGUAAAGCACUUUCAGUUGGGAGGAAGGGUUUAUGGCUAAUACCCAUGAACAUUGACGUUACCGACAGAAGAAGCACCGGCUAACUCUGUGCCAGCAGCCGCGGUAAUACAGAGGGUGCAAGCGUUAAUCGGAAUUACUGGGCGUAAAGGGUGCGUAGGCGGUUAUAUAAGUUAGAUGUGAAAUCCCUAGGCUUAACCUGGGAACUGCGUUUAAUACUGUAUAGCUAGAGUACUGAAGAGGUUAGUGGAAUUUCCAGUGUAGCGGUGAAAUGCGUAGAUAUUGGAAGGAACACCAGUGGCGAAGGCGACUAACUGGUCAGAUACUGACGCUGAGGCACGAAAGCGUGGGGAGCAAACAG
RNAcentral lists this ribosomal RNA (428 nucleotides) under uncultured bacterium. Its description in RNAcentral is "bacterial SSU rRNA". It matches the Rfam family "Bacterial small subunit ribosomal RNA", at positions 355 to 775 of the family's 1533-position model. The record is from RNAcentral.